Molecule: small nuclear RNA, 107 nt
Filed under: Myotis davidii
Lineage: Eukaryota; Metazoa; Chordata; Mammalia; Chiroptera; Vespertilionidae
Source: RNAcentral
GUGCUCGCUUCAGCAGCACAUAUCCUGAAAUUGGAGCAAUACAGAGAAGAUUAGCAUAGCCCCUGUGCAAGGACAACACGCAAAUUCAUGAGGCAUUCCAUAUUAAA